AACUGAUACUACCUGCGGGAACCUGCGGAAGGAUCAUCAUUGAACAAAGCUUUUUCGAGCCAGGGAGGGGGGGAGGAGAGGAAGCUCUCUUUCGUUCUCCCGGCUUGUAAAAACAAACAACUUUGAUACCCAAAAAGAGUCAUUCUCUUUCCUGCUGGGGAAGAGAGGGGGAAACCCCAGACAAACACAAGUAGUUGCCUGAUAAAAAAGAGUUUGGUUUGGAAAGAAACAUGAAACAAC
Molecule: unclassified non-coding RNA, 240 nt
Filed under: soil metagenome
Description: partial contains 5.8S ribosomal RNA, internal transcribed spacer 2, and large subunit ribosomal RNA
Source: RNAcentral